UGGUAUCUCUUUCUCGUGUCCAUGAGCCCAGGGUGCGUGAGGCCCAGGCUGGCACGGUAUCUCUUUCUCCCUAAACUGUCCCCAAAGCAGGCACAAUUUUGUGUGCUGCCCGCCCCCACUGUCAGUGCACUCUUCCAAGGGUUCCUGUGGAAUCCAGGCUCCAGUAAACACCCAAAGAGGAGGAAGUGGGCCAAGCAAUGAGCCUGCGAUUGCAUCAGGGCUGACGCACUCCCUGCCUUUUCCCCCACCUCAGUCUCCAGAGGAGCUCCUUGGGGCCAGGCCCAGCCCAGGAGAGAGGCUCAGGCCAAGGUGAAGAAGGGGAUGCUGGGGAGGGAUGCAAAUUAAAUUGCACUCUCCUUGGCUUGGGAAAGAAACAGCCAACAGAUUUGAAAGCUGGAGAUGAUGCAAAGAAGCCAAGGAGAAACAUGAAAACUCAAAUGUGCCCUGAACCAGUCUCAACCCCCAAGUCAAGGAAUGUAAAGUGCUGCAUUUUCUGGGAGCAAGAGAGCAAGUCUAUAUGGAAACUUGAGGUACUCUGAUGUGGUUUGGGAACCAAAAAAUAAAAGUGUUUAAGAGGGGCUUCCCUGGUGGCGCAGUGGUUGAGAAUCUGCCUGCCA
Molecule: long non-coding RNA, 617 nt
Organism: Balaenoptera musculus (blue whale)
Lineage: Eukaryota; Metazoa; Chordata; Mammalia; Artiodactyla; Balaenopteridae
Exons: 3
Source: RefSeq, a predicted model, not a curated record